RNAcentral lists this ribosomal RNA (421 nucleotides) under uncultured bacterium. RNAcentral's name for it is "partial 16S ribosomal RNA". It matches the Rfam family "Bacterial small subunit ribosomal RNA", at positions 356 to 770 of the family's 1533-position model. The record is from RNAcentral.
AGGGAAUCUUCCACAAUGGACGAAAGUCUGAUGGAGCAACGCCGCGUGAGUGAUGAAGGGUUUCGGCUCGUAAAACUCUGUUGUUGGAGAAGAACGGGUGUCAGAGUAACUGUUGACAUCGUGACGGUAUCCAACCAGAAAGCCACGGCUAACUACGUGCCAGCAGCCGCGGUAAUACGUAGGUGGCAAGCGUUGUCCGGAUUAUUGGGCGUAAAGCGAGCGCAGGCGGUUUUUUAGGUCUGAUGUGAAAGCCUUCGGCUUAACCGGAGAAGUGCAUCGGAAACCGGGAGACUUGAGUGCAGAAGAGGACAGUGGAACUCCAUGUGUAGCGGUGAAAUGCGUAGAUAUAUGGAAGAACACCAGUGGCGAAGGCGGCUGUCUGGUCUGCAACUGACGCUGAGGCUCGAAAGCAUGGGUAGCG